This 339-nucleotide long non-coding RNA is filed under the name Manihot esculenta (cassava). RNAcentral's name for it is "long non-coding RNA (MESC_LNC012027)". The record is from RNAcentral. Lineage: Eukaryota; Viridiplantae; Streptophyta; Magnoliopsida; Malpighiales; Euphorbiaceae.
AUCCAAAUAAAAUAUCAAGAUUACAUGUUCAAAAAAUAAAUUGAAGAAAAAAAACAAAAUGGAGUUGUGGCAUGCGGGGUUGAUGCUGCGAUGAUGUAGGGCUGCGACUUUAUUGUGACUCUAGUAUUAUGAGCUUACAACACUGCUAUGGUGGUGGUGCCAUUAAUUGCUGUGUUGGGCUUAAAUGAACGAGAGAGUAACACGGACAAAAGGAGACUGUGGAAGAUUAAGAGGGGCAAGAAAUCAAGACGAGGUAGAAAAUAAAAAUAAAGAAGAUACAAAAUAAAAGAAGAUGAUGAGAGAGAAGGUGAGCGGCUAUGUGAGAAGGAGAUCUAAANN